Molecule: long non-coding RNA, 210 nt
Filed under: Lathyrus oleraceus (garden pea)
Lineage: Eukaryota; Viridiplantae; Streptophyta; Magnoliopsida; Fabales; Fabaceae
Description: Pisum sativum (pea) long non-coding RNA (PSAT_LNC011550)
Source: RNAcentral
UUCAAUUACACCUUCAUCCAACAUUUCUUGGAUGUCUUUUCGAACUUGACGACACCCUCUCUGAUUGAUAGUGGAAACACGACAUUUGUCAUGGUCAUGCUCGUAGUGACUGUAUUCACACAACCGUCUGUGCAUCUCGACCAAUGAUUGUCGGAUAUGGCUGACAUAUCUGACCUUGUAUUUACCAGGGCAACCCUGAACCAUGUUGAC